Molecule: ribosomal RNA, 502 nt
Filed under: uncultured bacterium
Lineage: Bacteria
Description: partial 16S ribosomal RNA
Rfam family: Bacterial small subunit ribosomal RNA
Source: RNAcentral
AUUGAACGCUGGCGGUAUGCUUAACACAUGCAAGUCGAACGGCAGCACGGUCCGUAGUAAUACAGAUGGGUGGCGAGUGGCGGACGGGUGAGUAAUACGCAGGAAUCUGCCCUAUAGAGGGGGAUAACUCGAGGAAACUCGAGCUAAUACCGCAUAGUCUCUACGGAGUAAAGCUGGGGCAACCUGGCGCUAUAGGAGGAGCCUGCGUCUGAUUAGCUAGUUGGUGGGGUAAAGGCCUACCAAGGCGACGAUCAGUAGGUGGUCUGAGAGGAUGAUCACCCACACUGGGACUGAGACACGGCCCAGACUCCUACGGGAGGCAGCAGUGGGGAAUAUUGGACAAUGGGGGCAACCCUGAUUCAGCAAUACCGCGUGUGUGAGGAAGGCCUUAGGGUUGUAAAGCACUUUAGGCGGGGAAGAAGGUAUGUAUUUUAAGAGAUAACAUAUUUGACGGUACCCGCAGAAUAAGCACCGGCUAACUCUGUGCCAGCCGCCGCCGUAA